This 540-nucleotide ribosomal RNA is filed under the name Triticum aestivum (bread wheat). RNAcentral describes it as "partial small subunit ribosomal RNA". The record is from RNAcentral. Lineage: Eukaryota; Viridiplantae; Streptophyta; Magnoliopsida; Poales; Poaceae.
AUGCAUCAGAUUCACCGGACCGUCAAUAGAAUCACGACUUGUUCAAUAAAAAUAGGCAGCACAAGUCAGUUGGUCGCUAGCCAGCCUCCUUAUCUUGAACCCCGCAGAGAAGGUAGGUACACGGACACAUCUCGCCAACACAUCGCAAUUCGGCAGCAACCGCAGCCCAAGCAAACGGAGGCGAUGGGGAAGGAGUUCGGGAGCAUGGAGGAGUUCUGGGGGUUCUACCUGGGCCAGCACUCGAAGCCGGCCACGCGGCGCUGGCACUUCGCCGGCACGCUCGCCUCGCUGGUCUGCGCGCUGCUGGCGGCCGCCACCGGCCGCGCCGCGCUCCUGGUGGCCUGCCCCGUGCUCGGCUACGGCCUGGCCUGGUACAGCCACUUCUUCGUGGAGGGCAACCGGCCGGCCACCUUCGGCCACCCCGUCUGGUCCUUCCUCUGCGACUACCGCAUGUUCGCCCUCAUCCUCACCGGCCGCAUCGACGCCGAGCUCGCUCGCCUCCGCAUCCACCCGCCGCGCCCGCGCAUCGCCUCCGACUGA